RNAcentral lists this transfer RNA (74 nucleotides) under Marmota monax (woodchuck). RNAcentral's name for it is "tRNA.Ala". Lineage: Eukaryota; Metazoa; Chordata; Mammalia; Rodentia; Sciuridae. The record is from RNAcentral.
CUGGCUGUAUUGCUCAGUGGUAGAAUUCUUGCCCAGCAUGCAAGAGGUCCUGGGUUCAAUCCACAGCACCAAAA